UAUAUAACACAUACAUAACCGUAUGAAGACAUAUAAGGAAGGGUUUGCACCUUGGACCUUAGCGUGGCAGGCCACACACUCGGUAGCCCGAGUGGGUUGGUCGAACCGAACCUUUAGUAUUUUGACAUUCUAAACUUGGAGGAGGUCCUAAAAAACUAAACUUGAAAAACAUGGUUUUAUUAAAGAAAAAUAGUUUCAAAAUCACAAAGCCACGCUUUCAAAACAAAGUAGUAUCAUGAACCAUCCCAAAGCAGCAAUCAUAACAAGAGAUUAGAUGCACUCCAACACUACACUAUAG
This 298-nucleotide long non-coding RNA is filed under the name Hordeum vulgare. RNAcentral describes it as "long non-coding RNA (HVUL_LNC014565)". The record is from RNAcentral. Lineage: Eukaryota; Viridiplantae; Streptophyta; Magnoliopsida; Poales; Poaceae.